This is a long non-coding RNA of Mustela lutreola (European mink), 1136 nucleotides long. RefSeq lists it as uncharacterized. The record is from RefSeq and is a predicted model, not a curated record. The transcript is spliced from 3 exons. Lineage: Eukaryota; Metazoa; Chordata; Mammalia; Carnivora; Mustelidae.
GGCUCCAGGCCUCGGUCGUAGCGGGCGGCGCAAGUCCCAGCACGGAGGUGCCGGGCGUCGGCAGACCCAGACCGACGGCAGGCGCGAAGGUGGCCAAGGCGAGCAGGAGACCCCACAUGGCGGGAUCCAAAGGGUCUCUAUGUAAAGAAUCUGAAUCACCCCAAAUCACCAUACCGACGGCUCAAUCUCACGUGAUCUCUCGAAAGAAAUCCCACGCCGAACCCCUGGAACUAGGUCCCCAGGGGCGACCUCACAAACACCAGCUCUGGAGCCCCUCGAGGUUUCCUGCUAUGGAAUUAAGGAUUUUGCUUUCCUACCACCCUCCCCAACACGUAUCUCCAAGCGCACAAACAAACUCCUUCCAUCCUUCCAAAGAGCUAAGUCACUGGAGUCAAUAUUCAGUGCUUAUAUUAUGACCAUGUAAAUAUUAUUGUCCAACUUUGUGUGUUUCUGAAGUUAGCAAUUGCUUUGUUUUAUCAUUUGUUUGGUUUUCUAGGCAUCGAUUACUAAUUUAAUCCCAAAGCGACCAACAGAACUGAACAUUUUGAACAUCUCUAAAAACCAGAGAUAAUCUCAUUUUCUCCUGGAGACAUGCCUCCUGGAGCAUCUGGCUUUUGAUUCCAGCCCGGGUUGUUUGCUUUCUUCACUCGGAAGCACAGCUGACACCCUGAGCCUCUUUCAUCAUUGCUUUCCUGUGUUUAGCCUCAUUUCUUGACUCCCAUAUUGUCCCCUUAGUUUAAUGCCUUGUUAUGCUGAGACACAUCCUCCAGUAACUUUCUAGAAAAGAGUGUAUGUGAGGUCAGAUUUUUGAGAAUGUGCAUGGCUUAAAAUGUCUUUAUUCUACUCUCAUACUUGAGAAUCAUUUGGCCAUAUCUAUGUUUUUAGGUUGGAAAUUAUUUUCCCUCAGAAUUCUGCGGGCAUUGCUUUAUUACACUGGGAGGAGCCAGAGCAAAAACAAUCAAUGAAUGGUCCCAAGAGCCAGGGGCAUUGGCUCUUUGUCAAUGUCAAGUUCACCAGGCUUGAGUCUUUGGACAGGGGCUGCUAGAGGUAGAUAUGCUGCCUGAUUCCUGCAUCUCCUCUCUGAGGGGCUGUAUGGCCACCAGCCCCAACAUUUUUUCCUCGAAGUAUGAUAUGUG